UACAGAGGUCUCAAGCGUUGUUCGGAUUCAUUGGGCGUAAAGGGUGCGUAGGUGGCGCGCUAAGUUGGGUGUGAAAUCUCGGAGCUUAACUCCGAAAUUGCAUUCGAUACUGGCGUGCUUGAGGACUGGAGAGGAGACUGGAAUUCCUGGUGUAGCGGUGGAAUGCGCAGAUAUCAGGAGGAACACCGGUGGCGAAGGCGGGUCUCUGGGCCGAAUGACUGACGCUGGAGGAGCGAAAGCCGUGGGGAGCGAACAGG
This 257-nucleotide ribosomal RNA is filed under the name uncultured bacterium. RNAcentral's name for it is "partial 16S ribosomal RNA". It matches the Rfam family "Bacterial small subunit ribosomal RNA", at positions 524 to 776 of the family's 1533-position model. The record is from RNAcentral.